Molecule: non-coding RNA, 700 nt
Organism: Arachis ipaensis
Lineage: Eukaryota; Viridiplantae; Streptophyta; Magnoliopsida; Fabales; Fabaceae
Source: RefSeq, a predicted model, not a curated record
AUGCAAACACCCUCCCUCCCCCCAACCAAAAUCCCUCAUCCCCCCAACUUUCCCCAUUCCCUCGUAAGUUCUCCCCAAAUUUCCCCAAUCCUUCAGCUCGUAAGUUCCUAAGUUAGCGUUAAAAAAAAAUAAGAGAACUGGCCAAGCCUUCUUUUCUGCCCAGCCACGCACCCUCCUCCCCUCUCUCGUCGUGCAAAACCUAGUCGCCGGUCACCAGCUUCGAAGCCCACUGUCCGUUGUCAUCUUGCUCCAACCCGUGAAGCUGGGCAUCAGCUCCGCUUUGCCCACCGUCCGUCAUUGGCGUCCGUUGGGUCAUCCUGGAGCUUGUCUCGAAGCCUCAAACCCGUCGCCGUUCGUGUCAUCAUUGUGGAAGCCUCAAAGCUCUCCCUAAAUCUGCGAAUCACCAGCUUCACGGGCCUGGUGUACAAAGCCCUCAAAGCUCUUCGUGUCAGCAUUCACUCACUCCAUUGAGUAUUCCAACAGGAAGACAUGAUGUGAUGAAGAAAAUAUGUUCCAUACAUAUAUGACAUGGGAUGAGUCUUACAAUGACCUUAGUUAUGUAAAUGUAAUAUUUUGAUGUGUUCUGUACUUUUUGAGGUAUUAUAUGUAAUUGGAUAAAUUACACUCUAUUUUGAUUUGUGUUGUUUAGAGUAAAAAUUAAACAUAUCUAUCUUAUAAUGAAACUUUUAUGAUUUAGAUU